GACGAACGCUGGCGGCGUGCUUAACACAUGCAAGUCGAACGGAAAGGCCCUGCUUUUGUGGGUUUCUCGAGUGGCGAACGGGUGAGUAACACGUGAGUAACCUGCCCUUGACUUUGGGAUAACUUCAGGAAACUGGGGCUAAUACCGGAUAGGAGCUCCUGCUGCAUGGUGGGGGUUGGAAAGUUUCGGCGGUUUGGGAUGGACUCGCGGCUUAUCAGCUUGUUGGUGGGGUAGUGGCUUACCAAGGGUUUGACGGUUAGCCGGCCUGAGAGGGUUACCGGGCACAAGGGGACGGAGAUACGGCCCAGACGCAUACGGGAGGCAGCAGUGGGGAAUAUGGCACAAGGGGCGGAAGCCUGAGACGGGAGCGCCGCGUGCGGGAUGAGGGCCUUCGGGUUGUAAACCAAGAUCGCCUGUGACGAAACGUGAGAGAAGGUAAUGUGAAAAAAAGAACCGGCUAACUACGUG
RNAcentral lists this ribosomal RNA (468 nucleotides) under uncultured bacterium. RNAcentral's name for it is "partial 16S ribosomal RNA". It matches the Rfam family "Bacterial small subunit ribosomal RNA", at positions 28 to 507 of the family's 1533-position model. The record is from RNAcentral.